This 1593-nucleotide long non-coding RNA is filed under the name Manihot esculenta (cassava). Its description in RNAcentral is "long non-coding RNA (MESC_LNC000534)". Lineage: Eukaryota; Viridiplantae; Streptophyta; Magnoliopsida; Malpighiales; Euphorbiaceae. The record is from RNAcentral.
GAUUUUGCAGAGCCAGAGAGUACAGGAAGGUUAGCGAGCACAGAAGGGGAGAUCGAUGGCCAUGAGCAAGGAGAGGAUGAUGGAGAAGAGGAUGAUAAUGGGGAGACUGGGGAAGAAGAACAGGGUGUUGAUGAUGAUGGAGAAUUUGAAGAAGAAGAGGUGAGAUCGUCUAGGAUAUAACUUGGUCCUUAUUUUAGCUUAAUUUGCUACGCAUGUGCUUUUUAGUUGAAUUAACUGAAUGAUAGCUUUUGUCCCUCAGAAUUUUUGGUAGAAAGGGAGGGGGGNNNNNNNNNNNNNGGGAGUUAAGUUCCUAGCUGCUGUUUCACUUGCAGGCUCAAAUUUGUUAUUGCUGACUUGAUUUAUUUCGUGCUUUUGUGUCGAUUUUUUCUGAUUCUUUUGAUUGAUUCCUUGCAUAUUCUUUGGCAAACAUUACUACUGAUUCUUAAUUAUCUUUUUGUAGUAUUUUGCAGGUGCUUUUGCUUAGAACUCUGCUAUUGUUUAUUUAUUAAUUUAUUGCUACCUUAUGUGGGAAUAUAGGUGCUGGAUAUUCUUUGUUUGAUGCCAUUGUUUGUUGUCUUGUUGGUAAAUAUGAAGUAUUUGUUUAACUGGGCAAAUCCACGACAUAGUCAAUGUGGUUAAAUGUUCUUCAAAUAAUAGAAUUGUACCCUGUUGUUUUUUAUGUGAAAGUAUAGCCUUCUAGCACAUGUAAGAGGAUAAGAUGCAACUUUUUUGUUUUGUAUCCAAUGCUUUCAAUUCUUCUAUUUUCUAGGCAUGAAUGCAUUUGAGAAUUUUUUGAUUUAUUUAUUUAUUCUCCAUAAUUCCUGUAGUGAUAUGAUAACUAGUAAGUAAAUCCUUGGAGAGUUGGCUUCUUAGCUACAUCUCCUUUUUUUAUAUUUUAUUAUUUCCUAAAAUGUGGUUGUAUGAAAUGAUAUUUUCUGUUUGGUUUCAGUACAGUUGCACUUCUCUUUAAUUUUGGUCUUAUUAGCCACUGGAUAUAUUGUUGAUGCCUUACUUUUGCUUGCCUUGUGAUUGCAAAAUGUAUUUUUGUCUAUUAGCCUGCUCAUCUGUUUUUGUUUUCAGUAUGAAGUGUUUCUCAUGGCCAGUUUCAUGUAUAGAAAUACAGUUGUAUACCUGAUUUUUUGUGUAAUGGAGUAGUUUGUAGUUAUUGACUCUACAAUUAUAGAAAUAUUUCAUGUCAUGUGUGAUGUUUUGUUCAUUUUUCAGUUAACAUGAAUUCACAAUUUAGUAAUAUUUGAUGGGUACAGAGCUUCUUAGUUUAUUUGCAGAUAUUGUUAUUAUUAUGUUCAAACUUCUUUGCUUUAUAAAGCAAUAAUGUUUGGCAUUUUUGUGUAUUUGGUUAGUCUUUUUUGUGGUGGUGAUCUAUUUUUUUAACUUACUGGGAUUCAUGUCUUGCUAAUUUUUGUGACAUCCUUAACUGACUAUGGUUUCUAACUAUGAUGGCAGGAUGAAGAAGAUUAUGGUGCAGGAUAUUUGGUUCAACCAGUGGGGCAGGCUGAAGUGCAUGAUGCUGGAGGUAGUGACAUGGAAGCAAAUGAAGAAGAUGAUCACGAGGGGGAGGAAGAAGUUGAAGAU